UACGAAGGGUCCAAGCGUUGUUAGGAUUUAUUGGGCGUCAAGCGCGCGCAGGUGGAGUGACAAGUCAGGUGUGAAAUCUCGGAGCUUACCUCCGAAACUGCGCCUGAAACUGUUAGUCUAGAAUAUCGGAGGGGGUAGGGGAAUUUCACGUGUAGGGGUAAAAUCCGUAGAGAUGUGAAGGAACAACGGAGGCGAAGGCGCCUGCCUAGACGAUUAUUGACACUGAGGCGCGAAAGCGUGGGGAGCAAACAGG
This 253-nucleotide ribosomal RNA is filed under the name uncultured bacterium. RNAcentral describes it as "partial 16S ribosomal RNA". It matches the Rfam family "Bacterial small subunit ribosomal RNA", at positions 524 to 776 of the family's 1533-position model. The record is from RNAcentral.